RNAcentral lists this ribosomal RNA (1009 nucleotides) under Enteromyces callianassae. RNAcentral describes it as "eukaryotic LSU rRNA". It matches the Rfam family "Eukaryotic large subunit ribosomal RNA", at positions 46 to 667 of the family's 3401-position model. The record is from RNAcentral. Lineage: Eukaryota; Ichthyosporea; Ichthyophonida; Eccrinaceae.
CUAAGCGGAGGAAAAGAAACUAACAAGGAUUCCCUCAGUAACUGCGAGUGAAGCGGGAAAAGCUCAAGUUUCGAAGCUCGGCGGGCGACCGUCGCGCGUUGUAAGCUGAAGGGGCGCCAUCCAAGUUGCACGGCCCGGGUAUAGAUCCGUUGGAAAGCGGUAUCGCAGAGGGUGAGAAUCCCGUCCGUGACCCGGGAGAAAGGGCAUCAGCUCCGUGCAUCGUUGCGUUGCGCUUCCGAAGAGUCGGGUUGUUUGGGAAUGCAGCCCAAAAAGGGUGGUAAACUUCAUCUAAGGCUAAAUACAGGCACGAGACCGAUAGCGAACAAGUACCGUGAGGAAAGAUGAAAAGCACUUUGAAAAGAGAGUCAAAAAGUACGUGAAACCGUUAGAGGGAAACGAAUGAAGCUAGCAUUUGUGCGCGAUCGCAAUCAGCCGGACGUCCACGCGGGCGCGGGGUCGGAGUCUGGAGAAAUCCGGAUUACUUUGGAGAGCUUCGUCGAGUGCGCCGUAAGAAAGCGCGAUGACGACGAGCCUCACGGCGUCGCGAAUCGUCGAUACCCGCGGGGAACGAGAAAGCCGGUGCACUUGCGGUAGGCGUCAGGUCAACAUCAGUUCGGUAAAUAAUUAUUUCUUGCCAGACGAAGGAGACAGCAACUGUCGGGGAAAGGUGACCGUGGAGGCGAGCGGCUUCGAUUCGUCGAGGCAGCCACGCGUUCACGGGGCUUACAGACCCCGAUCGAAAGUUUAAUUCUAGCGUCGCGGCCUGGACUGAGGAAACGUGGCAGCGCGGUUUUUCCUUCUCGCCCGAUAAGGAACGGGAAGGGAACGAUUUUGCAGAUCUCCGCUGGGGUUGCGGGCCGACGGUCACUGAGCCGAAAAGGAGCAGUGGCGGAAGGCAUCCUACAAGCGCCUCACGAACGUCAUAACCGGCUACGGGGGUGUAGUGGCAUAAUGCGCGCUUGCGAUGUUGGCGAAAUGGCUUUAUCCGACCCGUCUUGAAACACGGACC